This 463-nucleotide ribosomal RNA is filed under the name Pseuduvaria indochinensis. RNAcentral's name for it is "eukaryotic LSU rRNA". The stretch from base 5 to 160 matches the Rfam family "5.8S ribosomal RNA". Lineage: Eukaryota; Viridiplantae; Streptophyta; Magnoliopsida; Magnoliales; Annonaceae. The record is from RNAcentral.
GGACAACUCUCGGCAAUGGAUAUCUCGGCUCUCGCAUCGAUGAAGAAUGUAGCGAAAUGCGAUAUUUGGUGUGAAUUGCAGAAUCCUGUGAGCCAUCGAGUCUUUGAACGCAAGUUGCGCCUGAGGCCACCCGGGCGAGGGCACGCCUGCCUGGGCGUCACGCACCGCGCUGCCCUCACCCGGCCCCGGGUGAGGGCGGAGAUUGGCCGACCGUGCCCCUCGGGGCGCGGCAGGCUGAAAGCUGCACCUUGACUGCCCCCGGCGGGGCGUCAGCACGGCGUUGGGUGGUCACCGGGGCUCCACGAGCCGACAUGAUCGGACACUGUGCACGUCGCCCCCCGGGGCACCAACGCACCCUAGAUUGCAACGCGACCCCAGGUCAGGCGGUGGCACCCGCCGAGUUUAAGCAUAUAAAUAAGCGGAGGAAAAGAAACUUACGAGGAUUCCCCUAGUAACAGCGAGC